GAUGAACGCUGGCGGCGUGCCUAAUACAUGCAAGUCGAGCGAACAGACGAGGAGCUUGCUCCUCUGACGUUAGCGGCGGACGGGUGAUUAACACGUGGAUAACCUACCUAUAAGACUGGGAUAACUUCGGGAAACCGGAGCUAAUACCGGAUAAUAUAUUGAGCCGCAUGGUUCAAUAGUGAAAGACGGUUUUGCUGUCACUUAUAGAUGGAUCCGCGCCGCAUUAGCUAGUUGGUAAGGUAACGGCUUACCAAGGCAACGAUGCGUAGCCGACCUGAGAGGGUGAUCGGCCACACUGGAACUGAGACACGGUCCAGACUCCUACGGGAGGCAGCAGUAGGGAAUCUUCCGCAAUGGGCGAAAGCCUGACGGAGCAACGCCGCGUGAGUGAUGAAGGUCUUCGGAUCGUAAAACUCUGUUAUUAGGGAAGAACAAAUGUGUAAGUAACUAUGCACGUCUUGACGGUACCUAAUCAGAAAGCCACGGCUAACUACGUG
Molecule: ribosomal RNA, 497 nt
Filed under: uncultured bacterium
Lineage: Bacteria
Description: partial 16S ribosomal RNA
Rfam family: Bacterial small subunit ribosomal RNA
Source: RNAcentral